AUUUGAGUAGUUUAAUAAAAAUUUUAAUUUGUGGGAUUAAAGAAGUAAAUUAAAAUUAUCUCAAAUU
This 67-nucleotide transfer RNA is filed under the name Scelio sp. ZJUH_2016028. Its description in RNAcentral is "tRNA-His". Lineage: Eukaryota; Metazoa; Arthropoda; Insecta; Hymenoptera; Scelionidae. The record is from RNAcentral.